This 163-nucleotide small RNA is filed under the name Arabidopsis thaliana (thale cress). RNAcentral's name for it is "ATSL255540". The record is from RNAcentral. Lineage: Eukaryota; Viridiplantae; Streptophyta; Magnoliopsida; Brassicales; Brassicaceae.
AAUGCACUAGAGGUUUUGGUGUGUUCCAUAUGUUAUGUUUCACAUAGUAUAACCUUGUGAGCAAUCAUGAUCAACGAGUGGAGAGACACAUAUCUUAUAUAGAUAGAUGUUAUGUGGGAUAUUCCAACAAACCAUUCGAGCAUAUAAAGUUAGAAGUGAAACA